This 122-nucleotide small RNA is filed under the name Marmota monax (woodchuck). The record is from RNAcentral. Lineage: Eukaryota; Metazoa; Chordata; Mammalia; Rodentia; Sciuridae.
GCCGGGCUUGGUGGUGAAUACCUGUAAUCCCGGCUUGGGAGGCUGAGACAGGAAGAUCGCAGGUUCAAAGCCAGCCUCAGCAAUGGUGAGGCACUAAACAACUCAGUGAGGCCCUGUCUCUA